RNAcentral lists this transfer RNA (72 nucleotides) under Phrynosoma platyrhinos (Desert horned lizard). Its description in RNAcentral is "tRNA-OTHER". The record is from RNAcentral. Lineage: Eukaryota; Metazoa; Chordata; Lepidosauria; Squamata; Phrynosomatidae.
GCCAGUGUGACAUAGUGGUUUGAGAGAUGGACUAUGACUCUGGAGAUCAGGGUUCGAAUCCCAGCUUGGCCA